AGCAGCCGCGGUAAUUCCAGCUCCAAUAGCGUAUAUUAAAGUUGUUGCAGUUAAAAAGCUCGUAGUUGAACUUCGGGGUUUACCCAUUGGUCAGGCUUAAUUGUCUGUACUGGUGAGAUAAAUCUCUACCUUCUGAGGAACUUUCAUGCCAUUUAGUUGGUGUGAUAGGAAAUCAGGACUGUUACUUUGAAAAAUUGAGUGUUUAAAGCAGGCUAACGUCUGAAUACAUUAGCAUGGAAUAAUGAAAUAGGACGGAUUGGUUCUAUUUCGUUGGUUUCUAGGAUCACCGUAAUGAUUAAUAGGGAUAGUUGGGGGCAUUAGUAUUCAAUUGUCAGAGGUGAAAUUCUUGGAUUUAUUGAAGACUAACUACUGCGAAAGCAUUUGCCAAGGAUGUUUUCAUUAAUCAAGAACGAAAGUUAGGGGAUCGAAGACGAUCAGAUACCGUCGUAGUCUUAACCAUAAACUAUGCCGACUAG
Molecule: ribosomal RNA, 476 nt
Filed under: uncultured Diversispora
Lineage: Eukaryota; Fungi; Glomeromycota; Glomeromycetes; Diversisporales; Diversisporaceae
Description: SSU rRNA
Rfam family: Eukaryotic small subunit ribosomal RNA
Source: RNAcentral